GUCUCCACAGAUUUAGGAAUGGAUAACACCAGAGAUCCCUUCAGUCUCCACAGAUUUAGGAAUGGAUAACACCAGAGAUCAAUUCAGUCUCCACAGAUUUAGGAAAAUCAGCGUUUUAGUUUUUUUGCCCCUAAUUUGUGUACCAAUUCGCAGAGUUCACUGUAGUCAGAUGUACUGGUGCCACUCAGACGUACUGAUGUACUGGUGCCACUCAGAUGUACUGGUGCCACUCAGGCAGUUAGAUGUACUGGUGCCACUCAGGCAGUUAGAUGUACUGGUGCCACUCAGACAGUUAGAUGUACUGGUGCCACUCAGGCAGUCAGAUGUACUGGUGCCACUCAGGCAGUUUGCAUUACUGAUUGAGGACCUCUAUGUAGUUGGAUGGGAUUGCUUUUGUUAAUUGUGU
This 406-nucleotide long non-coding RNA is filed under the name Salmo salar (Atlantic salmon). RNAcentral describes it as "lncRNA (ENSSSAG00000088501.1)". Lineage: Eukaryota; Metazoa; Chordata; Actinopteri; Salmoniformes; Salmonidae. The record is from RNAcentral.